Molecule: ribosomal RNA, 429 nt
Filed under: uncultured bacterium
Lineage: Bacteria
Description: bacterial SSU rRNA
Rfam family: Bacterial small subunit ribosomal RNA
Source: RNAcentral
UGGGGAAUUUUUCGCAAUGGGGGAAACCCUGACGAAGCAACGCCGCGUGGAGGAUGAAGGCCUUCGGGUCGUAAACUCCUGUCGACCGGGACGAACGUAGUCGGGUCCAAUACACCCGGCUAUCGACUGUACCGGUGGAGGAAGCCACGGCUAACUCUGUGCCAGCAGCCGCGGUAAUACAGAGGUGGCAAGCGUUGUUCGGAAUUACUGGGCGUAAAGGGCGCGUAGGCGGUUCGUUAAGUCCUGUGUGAAAUCCCCCGGCUCAACUGGGGAACUGCACAGGAAACUAGCGGGCUUGAGUUCGGGAGAGGGAAGCGGAAUUCCGGGUGUAGCGGUGAAAUGCGUAGAUAUCCGGAGGAACACCGGUGGCGAAGGCGGCUUCCUGGACCGACACUGACGCUGAGGCGCGAAAGCUAGGGGAGCAAACGG